RNAcentral lists this unclassified non-coding RNA (258 nucleotides) under plant metagenome. Its description in RNAcentral is "partial contains small subunit ribosomal RNA, internal transcribed spacer 1, and 5.8S ribosomal RNA". The stretch from base 1 to 54 matches the Rfam family "Eukaryotic small subunit ribosomal RNA", at positions 1778 to 1831 of the family's 1831-position model. The record is from RNAcentral.
GGAAGUAAAAGUCGUAACGAGGUUUCCGUAGGUGAACCUGCGGAAGGAUCAUUACUGAGUGAGGGCCCCUCGGGGUCCAACCUCCCACCCGUGUUUAACGAACCUUGUUGCUUCGGCGGGCCCGCCUCACGGCCGCCGGGGGGCAUCUGCCCCCGGGCCCGCGCCCGCCGAAGCCACCUGUGAACGCUGUCUGAAGUAUGCAGUCUGAGACAAUUAUUAAAUUAAUUAAAACUUUCAACAACGGAUCUCUUGGUUCCG